UAUUCCGUGUUUGUAUGUAAA
Caenorhabditis elegans is the source of this 21-nucleotide non-coding RNA. The record is from Ensembl. NCBI's taxonomy places the organism in Eukaryota, Metazoa, Nematoda, Chromadorea, Rhabditida, Rhabditidae.